ACGUGCAGUCGAGCGGUAACAGACAUAAAGAUUCAGCUUGCUGAAUCCGGUGCUGACGAGCGGCGAACGGGUGAGUAACGCGUAGGAAUCUACCCAGUAGCGGGGGAUAGCCCGAGGAAACUCGGAUUAAUACCGCAUACGCCCUGAGGGGGAAAGGGGGCAAUUUAUUGCUCUCACUAUUGGAUGAGCCUGCGUAAGAUUAGCUUGUUGGUAGGGUAAUGGCCUACCAAGGCGACGAUCUUUAGCUGGUCUGAGAGGACGAUCAGCCACAUUGGGACUGAGACACGGCCCAGACAUCUACGGAUGGCAGCAGUUAAGAAUAUUGGACAAUGGGGGCAACCCUGAUCCAGGUAUACCGCGUGUGUGAAGAAGGCCCUAGGGUUGUAAAGCACUUUAAUCAGAGAAGAAGCAUUUUAAGUUAAUACCUUAAUUUGUUGACGUUAACUGAAGAAUAAGGACCGGCUAACUCCGUGCCAGCAGCCGCGGUAGUACGGAGGGUCCAAGCGUUAAUCGGAAUUACUGGGCGUAAAGCGCGCGUAGGCGGUUUAGCAAGUUGUAUGUGAAAGCCCUGGGCUCAACCUAGGAACUGCAUCCAAAACUACUAAGCUAGAGUACGAGAGAGGAGAGUAGAAUUUCUGGUGUAGCGGUGAAAUGCGUAGAUAUCAGAAGGAAUACCAAUGGCGAAGGCAGCUCUCUGGCUCGUCACUGACGCUGAGGUGCGAAAGCGUGGGUAGCAAACAGGAUUAGAUACCCUGGUAGUCCACGCCGUAAACGAUGACAACUAGCCGUUGGGCAGAUUUAACUGUUCAGUGGCACAGCUAACGCAUUAAGUUGUCCGCCUGGGGAGUACGGCCGCAAGG
RNAcentral lists this ribosomal RNA (860 nucleotides) under uncultured marine bacterium. Its description in RNAcentral is "bacterial SSU rRNA". It matches the Rfam family "Bacterial small subunit ribosomal RNA", at positions 53 to 893 of the family's 1533-position model. The record is from RNAcentral.